GCAUGUUUGUUUUUGCAUUAGCUAGCCUUUUGUAGCAUCAUUCCGUUUCACUCUUGAUUGCCCUUUUCACUUUCUCAUUCUACCAGCAAACCUCUUUUGAAGGUGGUUCAUUGCCUUUUGACUCACCAAGAACUUCUAUUUCCACCUUGAUCUUGAUUGCAAUAUUUGUUCACAUGGUGUUUGCCUUUGUGUUAGAGUUAGGGAACUAAAUAGCAACUGAUACAUUAUCUAUUGGAGAAAUAGGUGCUUGAUUUGAUAUUUGCCAUUUUGGGUCUUUGAUUAACAAAUGAUAAU
RNAcentral lists this unclassified non-coding RNA (294 nucleotides) under Hevea brasiliensis (rubber tree). Lineage: Eukaryota; Viridiplantae; Streptophyta; Magnoliopsida; Malpighiales; Euphorbiaceae. The record is from RNAcentral.